RNAcentral lists this long non-coding RNA (937 nucleotides) under Glycine max (soybean). RNAcentral describes it as "long non-coding RNA (GMAX_LNC003345)". Lineage: Eukaryota; Viridiplantae; Streptophyta; Magnoliopsida; Fabales; Fabaceae. The record is from RNAcentral.
GAAGAGUAGAGGACUUGGCCAGCUUGUGGUACACAUAGAGGACUUGCAGUUCGUGGAAAGUACAAAAAGGUUUAAUAUUAUCUCUAUCUGGACACAUACUUACCACUCAAAUUUUUGGAGAGGGUUCAAUACCAAGUCAAAGGUAUUUGGGACUUCUACACAAGCAAUAGAGUGUGGUGAAAUUAUUGGAGGUAAGGGGAGAAUAAUUUUCAAAUUUAUAGAUUAGUGGGCAAAAUUAUGGUCUACUUCUUUGCAAGAACAUCCUGCUCUUUGUUUGGUGGCUUCAUGUGGUUAGAGUUAGGUUUUUGAUGAAACUCUAAGUUGAAUCAUAUUUGAAAGUUACUUCCAUAUUAUCCUUCAUAUAUAGUUUACCCCACCUUUACCCUUUCAUGACUUCAUGUGUUCUCUUCUUCGAAGAGAUAACAGGCUGCUUGACCAGCUCCUAAGCUAAAAGAGAGUAAGAUUCAGUUCUACCCUGUUCUGCCUAACACAAAUAUCCUUGUCCAGAUUAAGAGCAAUUUUAUGUAAUUAUAAUCCAUCACACUGCAGCCAAAAUCUGAAAUAUUGUGGUAUGUAAAUCAUAGUGUCUAUGAUAACGUUGAACUAAAUGGGAAUUGUGAAAUGAGCAUCAACACCACCUUUUUUCUUCUUACGUACAGUUAAUCGAAAUGCGACAUACCCCACAGUAAGAAUUCAAACCAAUAGGAAGCAUAAUAAACCAUGUAACACAGGCUAUUUACUUGGAAAUAUAGUGAUUUUAUGUUAUACAUUUUGAAUUUGCUAUAAAUUCGUGUUUUUCAUGCUUGGUAUUUGUAAUGAAACCAUUAAAAGAGGUAUAAACUAUAAAAUCAAUCACUAGUUUGCAGGGCAACCGUCAACUAUUACGCCCUUUGCUGUUGGGCAAACUGCCAGUGGACAAUGUUCACCAUCAUUUCCC